RNAcentral lists this ribosomal RNA (296 nucleotides) under uncultured soil bacterium. RNAcentral describes it as "partial 16S ribosomal RNA". It matches the Rfam family "Bacterial small subunit ribosomal RNA", at positions 26 to 321 of the family's 1533-position model. The record is from RNAcentral.
AGAUUGAACGCUGGCGGCAGGCCUAACACAUGCAAGUCGAGCGGCAGCACGGGUACUUGUACCUGGUGGCGAGCGGCGGACGGGUGAGUAAUGCCUAGGAAUCUGCCUGGUAGUGGGGGAUAACGCUCGGAAACGGACGCUAAUACCGCAUACGUCCUACGGGAGAAAGCAGGGGACCUUCGGGCCUUGCGCUAUCAGAUGAGCCUAGGUCGGAUUAGCUAGUUGGUGAGGUAAUGGCUCACCGAAGGCGACGAUCCGUAACUGGUCUGAGAGGAUGAUCAGUCACACUGGAACUG